Eriocheir sinensis (Chinese mitten crab) is the source of this 635-nucleotide long non-coding RNA. RefSeq lists it as uncharacterized. The record is from RefSeq and is a predicted model, not a curated record. Lineage: Eukaryota; Metazoa; Arthropoda; Malacostraca; Decapoda; Varunidae. The transcript has 2 exons.
ACACACACACACAGACACACACAUAUAAAUUAACUAAUAUAUAACAAAAUUUUGGGGUAUUUUUCUAGAUAAAUUUUCUAUAUAUCAAAAUUAGGUACACACACACACACACACAGACACACACAUAUAAAUUAACUAAUAUAUAACAAAAUUUUGGGGUAUUUUUCAAGAUAAAUUUUCUAUAUAUCAAAAUUAGUCGCACACACACACACACACACACACACACACACACACACAUAAAUAAACUAAUAUAUAUCAAAAUUUGGGAGGUAUUUUUCUAGACAAGUUUUUUUCUGUAUAUCAAAAUUAGGUACACACACACACACACACACACAUAUAAAUUAACUAAUAUAUAACAAAAUUUUGGGGUAUUUUUCUAGAUAAAUUUUCUAUAUAUCAAAAUUAGGUACACACACACACACACACACACACAUAAAUAAACUAAUAUAUAUCAAAAUUUAGGGGUAUUUUUCUAGAUAAAUUUUCUAUAUAUCAAAAUUAGGUACACACACACACACACACACACACACACACACACAUAAAUAAACUAAUAUAUAUCAAAAUUUUGGGGUAUUUUUCUAGAUAAAUUUUCUAUAUAUCAAAAUUAGGUACACACACACACACACACACACACA